CCUACACACGCUCUUCUUAUCUCCUUCCCUUUUCUAAAUACUUCAAACCAAAUUCCGACCUCAAAUAUUUACAUAGCAUGUGCACAGAUUUCUGCAUCUGAGGACAGUAUCAGUUGCUCUUUUUAAAAGAAUAUUAUUCAGCACCUUUCACGCUGUGCGUGCUCAAUAGCCAAUUAUUAUUACUUUGAUAGUAUGGCAGUAAAAAAAAUGUUGAAUGGAGCAUUAAGUUCAACCUUUUAUAAGAUAUUCUGUAAUUUAAUUUAAGGACAAUACUAUCUUCUCUGAUCCAACUUUAAGAUAAUUAUUUUGACAAAUUCUUUUGAGAUUUUUAGAUCACAGAAAUAUGAUUAAAUAAAACCAGUCAGUUGUUGGAGUUAUCACAAUAGCUCCAGAGUGUUCCUCCAGCAAUCUAAAACAAUAUUGUAACAGCAUC
Vicugna pacos (alpaca) is the source of this 433-nucleotide non-coding RNA. Lineage: Eukaryota; Metazoa; Chordata; Mammalia; Artiodactyla; Camelidae. The record is from RefSeq and is a predicted model, not a curated record.